Molecule: long non-coding RNA, 548 nt
Organism: Anthonomus grandis grandis
Lineage: Eukaryota; Metazoa; Arthropoda; Insecta; Coleoptera; Curculionidae
Exons: 3
Source: RefSeq, a predicted model, not a curated record
CUGUCAGACAUGACGCGUAAUUUAAAUUUUGAGUUUUUAUUGAAACAUUCUUUAGAAAAGGGUGCAGAAGUAUGGUAUAAAUUAGGCAAAAUAUAUGUAUAUGAAUUAAGUCUGUGGUGCUCUCGCCUGACCCAAACAGCUCGGGUAAACUAAAACUUCGAGCAUCUUGACUUUAAAGUUUCUUGACGUUAAAGGUUAAAAUAAUAUAGAUGUAAGAAGAAACACAACCAAUCAGCCAAUAGAGUUCACUUUCAGCAUCGAACUAGGUACUAUAAGAGAUUUUUCAUGUUACGGGUAACUCUUGUCUUAUUGUUAUCCCAUACAUCAUGACAACACCGGGCUAUUGCGAGAUAUGAGGAGAUCGGAAGAAAUGAGAGCGCUUUGAAAAUUUGCAAAAAUUCCAUUUUGACGAUUUUGUAAACCCAACAUUGAAGCCAUUUAAGAUUAAUUUAAGAGCGGAUUUCGACUGAAUGUAGACAAAUAAUUCAAGACAUGCUUGAAAAUGUGAAGAAUAGAUGCGAAUAAAAUUAGGGACGUAAAUAACACUA